Molecule: long non-coding RNA, 2552 nt
Organism: Rhododendron vialii
Lineage: Eukaryota; Viridiplantae; Streptophyta; Magnoliopsida; Ericales; Ericaceae
Exons: 2
Source: RefSeq, a predicted model, not a curated record
UUGGCUAUGUUAUUUCUUAUUGUAUAUCUCUACUUAUCUUGGGUACACUGGCUGCUUUACUGUUGUUGUCCUUUACUCGUUACGAAUACCGAUGAUAUGUGAAUGACAGGCUGCUAAUCGCAUUAUGCUAUUCGGGCCAUGUCCCUAGUUAUGAACUGUUAUUCAAUAGAAACAUGGUGAAUAGAUCAAACUAUCCAAGUUCUCUUUUAGGCUUUUCAGGGAUAUUUUGAUUAGAUAGUUCAUAAUAUUUUGUAGAGGAUUAAUAUUGGCCUGCAAUGUGUUAAUAGUGUUGAAACUCCAAUUGCUGUUGUUUAUAAUUUUAAGACAUACUUGAAGUGGCUUUUGCGUGGAAGCCUCUCUGGAAAGAGGAUUCUAGCCCCACCAAAGUAAUGUUGUUCUUCAUUAGACAGCGGGUUUGGAUGCAAUUCUGAGUCUCUGACUGCCAAUCAUCUGGAAAGAGAGGUUUUUUCCCUUCCUGCUUGAUGUUGUGUGUCCCAGCUACAAGAGGAGUCAGUGGAUCAUCAACGUUUUGACUAUUAUAUAGCUAGAGAUAAGUGGAGUCCGUUGUUUUCCUUUUCUUCUAACUUUGUAGAUGCCAUCUAUUGCUUCAACUUUCUCAAUGUAUUAGAUCAUAGAUAGAGAGAAGGUAGCAAAAGCCUCGAGGUAUGUCUAAUGAGGGAGUCUUUGGAGAUAAAGAAAUCGAUGAUGUUGAAGAUGUAUAGAUUAUGGGUGGACUUGCUAUGAAUAGAUUUAAUUUGACUCUUCUUUUUAUUUCACUUUUGGUUGUAGUUUUGUGAUUUUUGUACUCUAUAGGAUGGUUGCGUUUGGAGAAAGGACUUAAGUUUUGUUGCCUUUUCUAUCCCUUUUUUCUUCCCGUUGCAAUUGUAUGGUGACGGCCCCCUAGCAAAAAAGAUGAGAACAAAGAGUUAUGAGACAAAAUAGUGCGCCAUCAGGAUUCCAGAUAAAAUUGAUUAGAAGGGGGAAAAUAUUAAUUUUGAUUGUGGAUAUCAAGUUUGUGAUUAAGGCUAUUUUAAGUCACUGGGAAAGUUAUUUCUUGGUAAUUACAUUUUCAACAUUAAGUCCUCUUCCUCCUUUGAAAUGCUAAUUUCUUUUUAUGGGAAAUGGAAAAGACUUUUUUUCUUUUUUUUUUUUGUACUCUUGAGUGUUCCACUUUUCACUUGGAUAAACUAUAGAAUAGGGGGGAAAACUAGAGUUGUAAAGAUGGGACUAAAUUCAUUGUAUUGGUUGGACAUUCUCCAAACUAUGCCUCCUGUAAAUCCCAGAUCCCCGAAAAGCGUCGCUGUUUUUGUUUAAUGGAGGAUGUUUGACAGUUGUUCCCUCCUAAUCUAUGAGCCACAAGCAUGGGUACUUGUACAUAUGGGUACGUUGAAACAGAAUUUUAAAUAAAGUAGGGUCCAGGUUUGGGAAACAGAAAAUUUUAAAUAAAGUAGGGUCUGGGUUCAGCUAGGGUACCUCCUUGAAAAGUAUUUUGCAAUAUAAAGAAAUGCAUUAUAGCUAACGAGUAGAAAAAUGAAUGAAAAAAUAGUUGGAUGGCUUAAUUGAAUAAGUUUCUUGCUUACAAACCUCAUUUUUCAGCUAAAAGUGAAUUGCACAACUUUAAUCUCAUCACGUGAAGAAACUAUACAUUAAAGCUUAAUUACAGAAGCAUAAUAAGUACAGCAAGAACUCUCAUCAAGCUAACUGGUAUAAAAGAAUGUAAUUUUCUGCCUGGGUACAGUUCUGGGAUACUUGGUACAUUUGGUUACGGCAAAAAUUAUGUUGAAAAAGAUUGGGUACGCAUUUUGUGUACCCAGUACUAGGACAACAUGUAUUUUGAAGUACCUGUGCUUCAUAGCUCCUAAUUAACAGUGUUGGCAGGGAUGCUAGUUUAUUCCUUGGGCUUAACUUUCAUCCCUCCUAAAUGGCUUGUAAGUCCCCAUCCUCUCCCUCAUAGGAUGAUAUGUUGGUUCUUUAUGUCAGAAUUUGAUAUCAUUGUUGAAGUUGAUUGCUAGUGUUUGGUGCAACCGUGCAGGAACUUCUGAAAGGAACCAAGUUAUUCUGCACCUUUCCUUUUUUUACUUCAUUUGGAAAUAUGAUAUUGAGUCGGAAGGGUGUCACCAUAACAAACUCCUUGCAGAUCCGAAUAAACUUCUUAAUACAACUUACCGUUUAAUAGUUACCAAAAAGAAAAAAGAAAAAAGAAAACGUACCGUUUGAUAGACCUCUACCUAAUUUAAGAUUUUUGGAUCCUGCAAUAUGGUAACCUAUUCCCUAGUACUAUGGCAAAUAUGUACUUGAUUUGUUCCAUGAUCUUCUGGUUGAUUCAAACUAUUUCAUCCUUCUCAAAUUUCUGAUCGCCGACACUUCAUUGAAGUGCAAAGUUGCUAAAAAUAUCUGUGUACACAUACAUGAGUACGCUUUUCAGAAAUACAUAUCCAUUUACAUUCAAACACUGUAAUUUUUAAAACUUGUGAUAUCACCUUAUUUUCGUCCUCAUUUGGAACAAAACGAAAAGUCUGUUGAUAGUUUUCAGGCUCACUGGGUUGUGUUCU